Molecule: unclassified non-coding RNA, 305 nt
Filed under: plant metagenome
Description: partial contains 5.8S ribosomal RNA, internal transcribed spacer 2, and large subunit ribosomal RNA
Rfam family: 5.8S ribosomal RNA (bases 1-105)
Source: RNAcentral
GAAAUGCGAUAAGUAGUGUGAAUUGCAGAAUUCAGUGAAUCAUCGAAUCUUUGAACGCACAUUGCGCCCUUUGGUAUUCCUUAGGGCAUGCCUGUUCGAGCGUCAUCUAAACCUUCAAGCCCUGCUUGGUGUUGGGUGCCUGUCCUGCCUCCGCGCGCGGACUCACCUCAAAUCCAUUGGCGGCCCCCGCGUCGGCCACGAGCGCAGCAGAAACGCGAACUCGUGAGCCCGUCCGGGCGGCUCCCAGAAGCUACACCCACCCAGUUUGACCUCGGAUCAGGUAGGGAUACCCGCUGAACUUAAGC